GUGCCAGCCGCCGCGGUAAUACGAAGGGGGCUAGCGUUGUUCGGAAUAACUGGGCGUAAAGCGCACGUAGGCGGACUUUUAAGUCAGGGGUGAAAUCCCGGGGCUCAACCCCGGAACGGCCUUUGAUACUGGCAGUCUGGAGUCCGGAAGAGGUGAGUGGAAUUGCGAGUGUAGAGGUGAAAUUCGUAGAUAUUCGCAGGAACACCAGUGGCGAAGGCGGCUCACUGGUCCGGUACUGACGCUGAGGUGCGAAAGCGUGGGGAGCAAACAGGAUUAGAAACCCCCGUAGUCC
Molecule: ribosomal RNA, 292 nt
Filed under: uncultured bacterium
Lineage: Bacteria
Description: partial 16S ribosomal RNA
Rfam family: Bacterial small subunit ribosomal RNA
Source: RNAcentral